UAAUUCUUGUUAGUUGUUUAUAAACCUGUUCCUCCUCAACACACCUGGUUCCGGGUGGAUUCGGGAUGUUUACGCAGUCCGCUUUCCUUAUUUGAUUUUUAAUUUUUAAUCAAUCAAUUAAUCAAUCAAUCAAUUCGAGAAAGUUCGCGCGCUUUCGAAUCGCCUUGGCAACCGCGUAUUUUUUUUUUAUUUUGAGCCGGAACUCAACUCCCCGAUCGUCCUCCCUCCCUCUCUCUCUCUCUCUCUCUCUCUCUCUCUCUCUCUCUUUCACUCCCCUUUCCCUCGGUCUCUCCCGCGGUUCAGCGCUCGCUGUCCUCCUCCGCCGGCAUGUGCUCCAACAUCCCCGCACGUCCUUCCCCUGUUGCGUCCACGUGAAGGAAGUGGACUUCGGCAUUUCUCGGUUCUUUUCGUGGCUCGUUCUUGGUUUCGCCCGGAUGUCAAAAUGCCCGUUCGGCGUGGACACGUCGCUCUUCAGAACACCUACUUGGACACCAUCAUCCGCAAAUUCGACGGUCAAAAUCGCAAGUUCCUGAUUGCCAAUGCCCAGAUGAAGAACUGUGGCAUCAUAUACUGCAACGAGGGUUUCUGCCAGAUGUUCGGCUUCUCGCGGGCCGAGAUCAUGCAACAGGCGUGCACGUGUCAUUUCCUGGCAGGACCGGGCACCAUGAAGAGCGCUCUGGCUCAGCUGGCCCAGGCCCUGCUGGGCUCAGAGGAGCGCAAGGUGGAGAUCCUCUACUAUUCCAAAGAAGGGACGUGUCGUCCAUGUUUGAUAGACGUGAUUCCAGUGAAGAACGAGGAAGGCGUGGUCAUCAUGUUCAUCCUGAACUUCGAGGAACUGCUGGAGCCUGCGGUAAAGAUGGGCUUCAGGCAAAGAGUCACCCAGGGCUGGAUACGCUCAGCUCAGAAACGUAAGCUGAGGCUGAGAAUGCCGUCUUUACGAGUCACGCGGCAGCCUGCGUACCCCAAGGACCAGUUCGAAGGCGUCAUUGUGGACUAUCUACAGCCGCCUGAUCAGCACGUGGCUUUGAAAGCGUUCCCUGCGCCGUGUAAAGAGAACUCCCUGCAGUGUGAGACGCAGGCUCUGAUACAUCAGGAGCACUCGUUCGUUCCUUCGUCCAGCUUGGAGCCAGGCGGCCCCCAGGCCCACCACACACACUCGCGUACGCACUCCCGAGAGAGUGUACACAGCCUGCGGCGCGCCUCAUCGCUGCACGACAUCGACGCCAUCAGGGCCCAGUGCAGCGAAUCUCUAAAGCCCAACAACGUGAAUUCCACGUCGGAUUCAGAUCUUAUGCGGCACCGGGCCAUCGGUCGGAUCCCACAGGUCACGCUGUCGUUUGCGGCGGAGCGGGUAAGAGCCCCGUCGCCCACCGAGAUCGAGAUCAUCGCCCCCAGCAAGAUCAAAGAUCGCACGCAGAACGUCUCUGAGAAGGUCACACAGGUCACCCAGGUGUUGUCUCUGGGAGCAGAUGUUUUGCCCGAGUACAAGCUGCAGGCGCCGCGCAUCCACAAGUGGACCAUCCUGCACUACAGCCCAUUCAAGGCCGUAUGGGACUGGCUGAUCCUGCUGCUCGUGCUGUACACCGCCGUGUUCACGCCGUACAGCGCCGCUUUCCUGCUCAGCGAGCACCAGGACGAAGGCCGCAUAGACUGCGGCUACACCUGCAACCCGCUCAAUGUGGUGGACCUUGUGGUGGACGUAAUGUUCAUAAUCGACAUCAUUAUCAACUUUAGAACGACCUAUGUGAACCGCAACGAUGAGGUGGUGAGCCACCCGGGCCGCAUCGCUCAGCACUACUUCAAGGGCUGGUUCCUCAUCGACAUUGUGGCCGCUAUCCCUUUUGACCUGCUCAUCUUCAGAUCGGGCCCUGACGAGCCCCAGACCACCACUCUGAUCGGCUUGUUGAAGACAGCGAGGCUGCUGCGCUUGGUUCGCGUAGCCCGGAAACUGGACCGCUACUCGGAAUAUGGCGCCGCCGUCCUCUUCCUGCUCAUGUGCACUUUCGCUCUCAUCGCCCACUGGCUGGCCUGCAUCUGGUACGCCAUCGGGAACGUGGAGCGCACGGGCUCGAAGCGUGGAGAGGCCCUGAGGAUCGGCUGGCUCGACAACCUCGCCGAGCAGAUCGGCAAACACUACAACGAUAGCGACGCUUUAUCCGGACCCAGCAUCAAGGACAAGUACGUCACCGCUCUGUAUUUCACCUUCAGCAGCCUGACCAGCGUCGGCUUUGGCAACGUCUCCCCAAACACCAACCCGGAGAAGAUCUUCUCCAUCUGUGUCAUGCUCAUCGGCUCUCUGAUGUACGCCAGUAUCUUCGGAAACGUGUCGGCCAUAAUUCAGCGUCUGUACUCGGGGACGGCACGUUACCACACGCAGAUGCUGAGGGUCAAGGAGUUCAUCCGCUUCCACCAGAUUCCUGGAGGCCUGAGGCAGAGGCUGGAGGAGUAUUUUCAACACGCCUGGUCCUACACCAACGGCAUCGACAUGAACGCGGUGCUGAAGGGUUUCCCUGAGUGUCUGCAGGCUGAUAUCUGCCUGCACCUGAACCGCACGCUGCUGCAGAGCUGUAAUGCGUUUUGUGGAGCGAGUAAAGGCUGCCUCCGAGCUCUGGCCAUGCGCUUUAAAACCACACACGCGCCGCCGGGGGACACGCUGGUGCACAGCGGGGACGUCCUCACCGCCCUCUACUUCAUCUCCCGCGGCUCCAUCGAGAUCCUCAGAGACGAUGUGGUUGUCGCCAUUUUGGGUAAGAACGACAUCUUUGGCGAACCCAUCAGCCUGUACGGUCGCCCCGGGAAAUCUAGCGCAGAUGUCCGGGCUCUUACCUACUGCGAUCUGCACAAGAUCCUGCGGGACGAUCUGCUCGAGGUCCUCGACAUGUACCCUGAUUUCUCCGACAGCUUCUGGACCAACCUGGAGAUCACGUUCAACCUCCGAGAUGCAGACAGAAUUCUACAGCCAAACCCUGAUGAGGAGGCAGACUGCAGCUACAGGCGAGAACAGCACAGGAGAAACUCGCUCCAUCGCAAUAGACCAGACGGCACGGAUAGAGAAGACUCUUGCAAAAUUCUCCAGAAAUGCAACUCCGUGGGGAACCACAGGGAGGCGCUCUUACAGUUGCACUGGGACGAGCUGUGCAGCAGCGGGAGCGCCGUCUCUUUGCCCAGUGAGGAUGAGAUGAAACACUCGGGGCCUGGACGGGGAGGGGUGGUGUAUUCUCCAGAUGUGAGGGAGUACGUCCCUACUGUGGUCAACCUUCUACCCACAAGCACAGGAGAACCGGAAGAUCAUCCAUAUUCAGACUCUCUAAAUGUCUCUGGACUGUACGGUUGCUGGUCCGAGCGCAGGCCGAGUCAGUACCCUGAGACCCGGAGACGCUCGUCCCCGUCAACACGCGGCUGCUAUCAUCAUAACCAGCAUGGUGCACAUGACGAGGAGAGACCGAGUGAUCUUCAGUCCCGCCUUGAACUUCUGCAGUCUCAGCUGAACCGACUGGAGACUCGGAUGACGGCUGACAUUAACGUGAUCCUGCAGCUGCUCCAGCGACAGAUGGCCCAAGUGCCACCUGCUUACAGCUCGGUGUCUCCAACCCCGGCGCUCCAUCACAACGCUUCUUCAACCGACCUGUACGAGGCUCCGAUAUUCCCCCCUGGGACACCCACCACUCCUACUGCACACAUCAGAGAACCGACACACACCUCCUCCUCCUCCACCAACAACAGUCCUGAGUCGGACAGCCCUGACCCAGAUUCCCCAUCCAUGUCCCCGAAGACUAACCCCAGUCUCAACGUCCCUCAAUACCUGCAUCCGCAUCUCAGUCUGCGUUUCCUGUCUCUUCCUGAGCACCUGGAGAGCCUGAACAGCCUGGAGGACACAUCACAGACCCAAAGGCACCUGUCUGACCCUGGGCUCCCGGGCAGCUAGAAACCCGGGCGUUUUUCACUUUCUUCUUAUCUCGUCACCUCUGGGCCAUGUGUGUCCAAAAUUAGCUCUACUCAAGGAUAGCUGGGACGGGACCAAGCCACAGUCCUCCUCUUCCUUCUCCUCCUCCUCCUCCUCUUCCUGUUUACUUCUUAGAUCACAUGGAGACUGCGAGCUUCAAACGAGCAGGAAGCUGCUCCAAACGGACCCAGGGUUUAUUUGCAUCGCGUAGCUGAGAUCCAGACACAUCAAACACUGCAUGGGUUUCACGUUGCGAAGGAAGAGUUGGUGAUAUUCAUGCGUAGGGCUGCACCAAUCCGAUGCUGAGUAUUGGGUUCAGGGAAAUAUCUGAUGUGGUAUCAAAAAGUUUCAAAACAUGCCAGCAGAUGGCAGCACAAGGCUGCACGCACAGUCACAUGGAGCACCGACUUUCACAAGUCAAUGCGCUCCAGUGCUAUUCUGACCAUGUGCAUAACCACGUCUGCUAUUCUGACCACGUGUGAACCCUCUCACACACCAGUUUCUCGCCUGAAACAACACAAUCUCACUUCCAACUCGCCAGAUUCGGCUCCUCCGGACUGCACCCUCUCCCCGAAGAUCCAUGAUAAUCCAGUUUGCUGUUUCGACACCAUUGCAGUGAUCCAGCGCGAAUAGCAGAGGGUGCUUCGAAAUGAAGAUGUCCAGGACACAUUCCAGAAGUGGCAGGAACGCUGGGAGCGCUGGAUUGCUGUGCUACGAGACUAUUUUGAAGAUCCCAGGCAAGGUGUAAUACCAGGGACUGAGGAAUACAGCAUGAGCAGGACAUGACUGUAUGUUUAAACAAAGGCCUUUUGGGGGCGCUCAUUAGCAGCUCGGUUUUCAUAUCUUUUAGGGCGUUGAGGAAGACGAGGUCUGAUUGCACAUGUUUGAUUUGGUGUUGUAUGUUAAGUGUCUUCACCUUCAAGCACUGAGAUUAACUUGAACUAAAUUCUUCAGAAUUUACAAGGAAAGAAAUAAGUGAGGAGAGAGAGAGAGAAAGAGAGAGAGAGAGAGAGAGAGAGAGAAUAAGCUAAGCAGAUUAUGAGUGACAGAGCAAAAGAGAGAGAGUGAGGGACAAAAUGACAGAACAGGCAAGGAACAGUAUGCAGGAGAGAAGGAAUGAGAGAAAAGAAAGAGAAUAAGCGAUUAAGAGAGAAUGAGAGGAAAGAGAAAAGAGAGGACAAGAUAGAGAAUGAGGGAGAGAAUAAUCUAAGGAAGCGUAUGGGGAGAGAGGGAGGAGAGAGAACAAGCAAGGGAGAAUGAAUGAGUGAAGGAGAGAAUAAGCAAUUGAGAGAGAAUGAGAGGAAAAUAAAGAGAGAAUAAGCAAGAAGAGUAUGAAGGAGAAAGCGAAAGAGAAAUUGUAACACGAGUAGUAAAGAGUGGAGGAGAGAAUAAGAGUGAGGACAGAAUACGAAAGAGAGAGAAAGAGGAGAAAUGAGGAAGGAAGAAGAAAAUGAGCAGUGCAAUAAGUGAAGGAGAUAAAAUGAGAGAAAA
RNA transcript from Silurus meridionalis, 5434 nucleotides. It is a transcript of the gene named potassium voltage-gated channel, subfamily H (eag-related), member 6a, with no coding region annotated. The transcript is spliced from 17 exons. NCBI's taxonomy places the organism in Eukaryota, Metazoa, Chordata, Actinopteri, Siluriformes, Siluridae. The record is from RefSeq and is a predicted model, not a curated record.